UACAAGGUGCUGCAUGGUUGUCGUCAGCUCGUGCCGUGAGGUGUCGGGUUAAGUCCCAUAACGAGCGCAACCCCUAUCAUUAGUUGCCAUCAGGUCAAGCUGGGGACUCUAAUGAAACUGCCUACGCAAGUAGUGAGGAAGUGGGGAUGACGUCAAAUCAGCACGGCCCUUACGUCCAGGGCUACACACGUGUUACAAUGGCCAGUACAGAGGGCAGCCACCCCGCGAGGGGGCGCUAAUCCUAAAAGCUGGUCCCAGUUCGGAUCGGAGUCUGCAACCCGACUCCGUGAAGCUGGAUUCGCUAGUAAUCGCGCAUCAGCCACGGCGCGGUGAAUACGUUCCCGGGCCUU
Molecule: ribosomal RNA, 350 nt
Filed under: uncultured Bacteroidota bacterium
Lineage: Bacteria; Pseudomonadati; Bacteroidota
Description: bacterial SSU rRNA
Rfam family: Bacterial small subunit ribosomal RNA
Source: RNAcentral